RNAcentral lists this non-coding RNA (28 nucleotides) under Cricetulus griseus (Chinese hamster). Lineage: Eukaryota; Metazoa; Chordata; Mammalia; Rodentia; Cricetidae. The record is from RNAcentral.
UUCAGUAGGAGGAAAGCAGGUUAGCUGU